UUUAACCUACGGGGGGCAGCAGUGGGGAAUCUUCCGCAAUGGGCGAAAGCCUGACGGAGCAAUGCCGCGUGAGUGAAGAAGGCCUUCGGGUUGUAAAACUCUGUCCUUAUCGAAGAGAGGUGGGUAUGUGAAUAAUGUACUCAUAGGACGGUAGAUAAGGAGGAAGCCCCGGCUAACUACGUGCCAGCAGCCGCGGUAAUACGUAGGGGGCGAGCGUUGUCCGGAAUCACUGGGCGUAAAGGGCGCGUAGGUGGGCGCUUAAGUCAGGUGUGAAAACUCCGGGCUCAACCUGGAGACUGCACUUG
Molecule: ribosomal RNA, 305 nt
Filed under: uncultured bacterium
Lineage: Bacteria
Description: bacterial SSU rRNA
Rfam family: Bacterial small subunit ribosomal RNA
Source: RNAcentral